UCCAGACUCCUACGGGAGGCAGCAGUGAGGAAUAUUGGUCAAUGGGCGGAAGCCUGAACCAGCCAAGUCGCGUGAGGGAAGAAGGCCCUGCGGGUCGCAGACCUCUUUGGACGGGGAGCAAGGCCGCCGACGUGUCGGCGGAAGGAGAGUACCCGUAGAACAAGCAUCGGCUAACUCCGUGCCAGCAGCCGCGGUAAUACGGAGGAUGCGAGCGUUAUCCGGAUUUAUUGGGUUUAAAGGGUGCGUAGGCGGGCGCUUAAGUCAGCGGUAAAAUUGCGGGGCUCAACCUCGUCGAGCCGUUGAAACUGGGUGCCUUGAGUGGGCGAGAAGUACGCGGAAUGCGUGGUGUAGCGGUGAAAUGCAUAGAUAUCACGCAGAACUCCGAUUGCGAAGGCAGCAUACCGGCGCCCUACUGACGCUGAGGCACGAAAGUGCGGGGAUCGAACAGGAUUAGAUACCCCCGUACAC
RNAcentral lists this ribosomal RNA (468 nucleotides) under uncultured bacterium. RNAcentral's name for it is "bacterial SSU rRNA". It matches the Rfam family "Bacterial small subunit ribosomal RNA", at positions 330 to 795 of the family's 1533-position model. The record is from RNAcentral.